RNAcentral lists this long non-coding RNA (391 nucleotides) under Apteryx owenii (little spotted kiwi). Its description in RNAcentral is "lncRNA (ENSAOWG00000010378.1)". Lineage: Eukaryota; Metazoa; Chordata; Aves; Apterygiformes; Apterygidae. The record is from RNAcentral.
GGAAAAGACAAACAUGUUUAAGAAAAAGAUGGCAUCUUAAAGUGCUGAAGAACUUUCAACAGUUUAAAUGCCAGACAUUAUCAUUUUCUAAGUAAACCUGCUUUUGUUCAAAAGCUCAACUAUUUUGUGCUUCUGUCGGUGGCUUUGCACAGGUGCCAGCCAGUACUGAAGGCAUGAACUGCUGAGUUCUUUCCAGGAGCAUACUUGUGGGUGCCCAGAUACUGGGUAUAUUCAGGAACUGGCUGUGUUCUCACUGUAGUACUUACAAAUGUAUCGGAAUCUGCUGAAGCCAACAUUCAGAAAAAAUAUGGAACUACCCAAGAAAUUUACCCAAUGAAAGAGACCCUCAGAUUUUGUACUAGUGGUAAGAAAAUACUUGGAAGAAACCUCU